GAUGAACGCUGGCGGCGUGCCUAAUACAUGCAAGUCGAGCGAACAGACGAGGAGCUUGCUCCUCUGACGUUAACGGCGGACGGGUGAGUAACACGUGGAUAACCUACCUAUAAGACUUGGGUAACUUCGGGAAAACGGAGCUAAUACCGGGUAAUAUAUUGAACCGCAUGGUUUAAUAGUGAAAGACGGGUUUGCUGUCCCUUUUUGAUGGAUCCGCGCCGCAUUAGCUAGUUGGUAAGGUAACGGCUUACCAAGGCAACGAUGCGUAGCCGACCUGAGAGGGUGAUCGGCCACACUGGAACUGAGACACGGUCCAGACUCCUACGGGAGGCAGCAGUAGGGAAUCUUCCGCAAUGGGCGAAAGCCUGACGGAGCAACGCCGCGUGAGUGAUGAAGGUCUUCGGAUCGUAAAACUCUGUUAUUAGGGAAGAACAAAUGUGUAAGUAACUAUGCACGUCUUGACGGUACCUAAUCAGAAAGCCACGGCUAACUACGUG
Molecule: ribosomal RNA, 497 nt
Filed under: uncultured bacterium
Lineage: Bacteria
Description: partial 16S ribosomal RNA
Rfam family: Bacterial small subunit ribosomal RNA
Source: RNAcentral